This 978-nucleotide long non-coding RNA is filed under the name Daucus carota (carrot). RNAcentral's name for it is "long non-coding RNA (DCAR_LNC006321)". The record is from RNAcentral. Lineage: Eukaryota; Viridiplantae; Streptophyta; Magnoliopsida; Apiales; Apiaceae.
GAAAGCUCUCCCUAAUCCGACUUUAAUUCGAAUUCAAAGUCAGAUGAUGCCUUUAUAUAUAAACAGGGGUGUUGGGUGUUGACAUAUCGAUAGACAAAAGCAAUGGCUGGUGCUUUUGAUUCAGAACACCUCUUGGCAGAAAUCCUGAAAAGACUACCUCCAAAAUCUCUAGCACAAUGCACUUGUGUGGAGAAAUCAUGGUAUGAUCUUAUACAAUCUCCUAAUUUCAAAGCUCUGUACUCUGAUUCUAAUCAAUUUAUUUAUAUGCUUGCAAAACUAUUUAAUGGGGGCUUUGCUUUAUAUAGAAUGGAUCCACUACUUCACCCGCGAUUUAGUAGCAAUAGUUGUAGCUCCGACUCUACUUAUCUUCAUGACUUGCGUCCUCUUCUUGUUUUCCCCACAGAUUCGCAUUUAGGAGACAAUUAUUUCAAGUGCAUAAAUAAAAUUAGGUUCCAAGAUAUAUUUCUAUGGACUUGCAUUGUCGUCGGGUAAUAAAUACACUAGCUUUUAUACCAUGGAAGAAAAGGAUCUUAUGAGUAUAGAACCUAGUGAAGACAAUGUCAUUACGAAUUUUAAACUUUAACUAAAAUUAAAAAUCCCAUGCAUGAGUUAAAGCUUUUUCCGAUUGUUUUUGUCGCCAAUGACAAACUCUAUAUUCUAUCUGGGUGCUUUCUCGAUACCAUAUUUGAAGUCUUUUCUCCUGCUGACGGGACUUGGCAAGUGUUGCCCAAUCCAGAAGAUGAUGCAUUAGAGUUUCAUUAUUAUGCUGAUGGGGUUUCUUAUCUUGUCAUGGAACAAGAGCAAAUAGUCUAUUUUGCUACUACUAGACUACUCUCGUCCUUCAAUCUACAAACACAUCAAUGGGCUAUACACACAUAUUUUAAUAGUCCAACUCCUGCACAUUUUACAUUCGGUCAACAAAAAUUUCGUUACAUAUGUAAUCCAAUAAUCGGUAAUUUGGCUUUUGGUAUACUCCCC